RNAcentral lists this ribosomal RNA (424 nucleotides) under uncultured prokaryote. RNAcentral's name for it is "bacterial SSU rRNA". It matches the Rfam family "Bacterial small subunit ribosomal RNA", at positions 355 to 796 of the family's 1533-position model. The record is from RNAcentral.
UGGGGAAUCUUGGACAAUGGGCGGAAGCCUGAUCCAGCCAUGCCGCGUGAGUGAAGAAGGCCCUAGGGUCGUAAAGCUCUUUCACCGGUGAAGAUAAUGACGGUAGCCGGAGAAGAAGCCCCGGCUAACUCCGUGCCAGCAGCCGCGGUAAUACGGAGGGGGCUAGCGUUGUUCGGAAUUACUGGGCGUAAAGCGCGCGUAGGCGGAUUGUUAAGUCGGGGGUGAAAUCCCGGGGCUCAACCCCGGAACUGCCUCCGAUACUGGCAGUCUUGAGGUCGAGAGAGGUGAGUGGAAUGGCGAGUGUAGAGGUGAAAUUCGUAGAUAUUCGCCGGAACACCAGUGGCGAAGGCGGCUCACUGGCUCGAUACUGACGCUGAGGUGCGAAAGCGUGGGGAGCAAACAGGAUUAGAUACCCGCGUAGUCC